GCCCGCGACCAUACCACAUUAGAAACACCAGUUCUCAUCUGAUCACCGAAGUUAAGCAACGAAAACCCGAUUAGCACCUGCAUGGAUGACAGGAUGGGAAUACCGGGUGUUGCGGUCG
This 118-nucleotide ribosomal RNA is filed under the name Echinostoma caproni. The record is from RNAcentral. Lineage: Eukaryota; Metazoa; Platyhelminthes; Trematoda; Plagiorchiida; Echinostomatidae.